RNAcentral lists this ribosomal RNA (484 nucleotides) under uncultured bacterium. RNAcentral describes it as "partial 16S ribosomal RNA". It matches the Rfam family "Bacterial small subunit ribosomal RNA", at positions 30 to 507 of the family's 1533-position model. The record is from RNAcentral.
AUUGAACGCUGGCGGCAGGCCUAACACAUGCAAGUCGAGCGGAUGAAGGGAGCUUGCUCCUGGAUUCAGCGGCGGACGGGUGAGUAAUGCCUAGGAAUCUGCCUGGUAGUGGGGGAUAACGUCCGGAAACGGGCGCUAAUACCGCAUACGUCCUGAGGGAGAAAGUGGGGGAUCUUCGGACCUCACGCUAUCAGAUGAGCCCAGGUCGGAUUAGCUAGUUGGUGGGGUAAAGGCCUACCAAGGCGACGAUCCGUAACUGGUCUGAGAGGAUGAUCAGUCACACUGGAACUGAGACACGGUCCAGACUCCUACGGGAGGCAGCAGUGGGGAAUAUUGGACAGUGGGCGAAAGCCUGAUCCAGCCAUGCCGCGUGUGUGAAGAAGGUCUUCGGAUUGUAAAGCACUUUAAGUUGGGAGGAAGGGCAGUAAGUUAAUACCUUGCUGUUUUGACGUUACCAACAGAAUAAGCACCGGCUAACUUCGUG